UCAUCAUGCCCCUUAUGACUUGGGCUACACACGUGCUACAAUGGUUGGUACAACGAGUUGCGAGUCGGUGACGGCGAGCUAAUCUCUUAAAGCCAAUCUCAGUUCGGAUUGUAGGCUGCAACUCGCCUACAUGAAGUCGGAAUCGCUAGUAAUCGCGGAUCAGCACGCCGCGGUGAAUACGUUCCCGGGCCUU
This 193-nucleotide ribosomal RNA is filed under the name uncultured Streptococcus sp. RNAcentral describes it as "partial 16S ribosomal RNA". It matches the Rfam family "Bacterial small subunit ribosomal RNA", at positions 1190 to 1382 of the family's 1533-position model. Lineage: Bacteria; Bacillati; Bacillota; Bacilli; Lactobacillales; Streptococcaceae. The record is from RNAcentral.